Long non-coding RNA from Oncorhynchus tshawytscha (Chinook salmon), 673 nucleotides. The record is from Ensembl. NCBI's taxonomy places the organism in Eukaryota, Metazoa, Chordata, Actinopteri, Salmoniformes, Salmonidae.
GCACCACCCUACACCACCAGGCCCCAUACAGAGAGACCAGCACCACCCUACACCACCAGGCCCCAUCCAGAGAGACCAGCACCACCAUGCACCACCAGGCCCCAUACAGAGAGACCAGCACCACCCUGCACCACCAGGCCCCAUCCAGAGAGACCAGCACCACCCUACACCACCAGGCCCCAUCCAGAGAGACCAGCACCACCCUACACCACCAAGGCCCCACCCAGAGAGACCAGCAUCACACUAUACCACCAUGCCCCAUCCAGAGAGACCAGCACCACCCUACACCACCAGGCCCCAUCCAGAGAGACCAGCACCACCCUGCACCACCAGGCCCCAUCCAGAGAGACCAUCUCUACCCUACACCACCAGGCCCCAUCCAGAGAGACCAGCACCACCCUGCACCACCAGGCCCCAUCCAGAGAGACCAGCACCACCCUACACCACCAGGCCCCAUCCAGAGUGACCAGCACCACCCUGCACCACCAGGCCCCAUCCAGAGAGACCAGCACCACCCUACACCACCAGGCCCCAUCCAGAGAGACCAGCACUACCCUGCACCACCAGGCCCCAUCCAGAGAGACCAGCACCACCCUACACCAUCGUGUCCCUUCCAGAGAGGCCAGCUCCACCCUACAAUAUUGAGCCCCUCCCAGAGAGACCUGGUCCACCC